AUACAGAGGGUGCAAGCAUUAAUCGGACUUAUUGGGUGUAAAGAGCGCGUAGGCGGGUAAGCAAGUCAGAUGUGAAAUUUCGGAGCUCAACUUCGAAGCUGCAUUUGAAACUACUUGUCUUGAGGGUAGACGGAGAAAACGGAAUUCCACGUGUAGCGGUGAAAUGCGUAGAUAUGUGGAAGAACACCUGUGGCGAAAGCGGUUUUCUAGUUUACUCCUGACGCUGAGGCGCGAGAGCAAGGGUAGCAAACAGGAUUAGAAACCCCAGUAGUCC
Molecule: ribosomal RNA, 274 nt
Filed under: uncultured bacterium
Lineage: Bacteria
Description: partial 16S ribosomal RNA
Rfam family: Bacterial small subunit ribosomal RNA
Source: RNAcentral